This 259-nucleotide non-coding RNA is filed under the name Staphylococcus epidermidis RP62A. Its description in RNAcentral is "Staphylococcus sRNA 35 (srn_0335)". It matches the Rfam family "Staphylococcus sRNA 35 (srn_0335)". Rfam says of the family: Other name: Srn_0335, SAOUHSCs258. Lineage: Bacteria; Bacillati; Bacillota; Bacilli; Caryophanales; Staphylococcaceae. The record is from Rfam by way of RNAcentral.
UUGAAUUUUUAUAAAUGGUUUCAGUGGGGCAUAAGUUAUAAGCGCGUUGUCUAAACAUACUCCGAACCCCAACUUGCCUUGUCUGUAGAAUUUCUGUUUGAAAUUCUCUAUGUUGGGGCCCCGAACCCCAACUUGCCUUGUCUGUAGAAUUUCUGUUUGAAAUUCUCUAUGUUGGGGCCCCGAACCCCAACUUGCUUUGUCUGUAGAAUUUUUGUUUGAAAUUCUCUAUGUUGGGGCCCCGAACCCCAACUUGCUUUGU